AUUGAACGCUGGCGGCAUGCUUUACACAUGCAAGUCGAACGGUAACAGGGAGCUUGCUCCGCUGACGAGUGGCGAACGGGUGAGUAAUGCAUCGGAACGUAUCCAGUCGUGGGGGAUAACGUAGUGAAAAUUACGCUAAUACCGCAUACGAUCUAAGGAUGAAAGCGGGGGAUCGCAAGACCUCGCGCGAUUGGAGCGGCCGAUAUCAGAUUAGGUAGUUGGUGAGGUAAAGGCUCACCAAGCCGACGAUCUGUAGCUGGUCUGAGAGGACGACCAGCCACACUGGAACUGAGACACGGUCCAGACUCCUACGGGAGGCAGCAGUGGGGAAUUUUGGACAAUGGACGCAAGUCUGAUCCAGCCAUGCCGCGUGCAGGAUGACGGUCCUAUGGAUUGUAAACUGCUUUUGUACAGGAAGAAACACUCCCUCGUGAGGGAGCUUGACGGUACUGUAAGAAUAAGGAUCGGCUAACUCCGUG
This 479-nucleotide ribosomal RNA is filed under the name uncultured bacterium. Its description in RNAcentral is "bacterial SSU rRNA". It matches the Rfam family "Bacterial small subunit ribosomal RNA", at positions 30 to 507 of the family's 1533-position model. The record is from RNAcentral.